CAAUUGGCUCACCACCAACCAAUCAGAAGAAGGCCCAGGAGCUGACCACACCCACUCCUUGAACACUUGCAAGACUUCUCACUACCGCCUCCAGGGUAGGGUGCACAGUGUAGAGGGCACUGACCUGAUCUGGUUCCCUGAGUCUGGCAGAGAAAUGAAGCUAUUCAUUUUUACUUCACCCAAAGCUCUGACUCCAUGAUUCAGUUCCAUGCGGGUGUGCAAAGGCCGAGUUUAAGCCACACUCUGGAGCAGGAAUUCCACAGGUCUGAGUCGGAGUCAUGAGAACUUGAUGCACCCUUUCUGGCUUGGGGGUGAAGGAGGCUUUGCAGCAAGGGACGCUGGUGGAAUGUCGGACGGAGGAGCAGCCCCAGCCGACAGUCAGAAAGGAAACCAGAGACCACAGUCUUGAAACUGUAAAAACCUGAAGUUUUCUUGGAAUAUAAAUGCUUUGAAAUUAAACAAUGGAAGCUGACUUCUCCCAGAACCUCCGGAAGAACUCAGCCCGAGAGGACCCCACUGAGUCAGAUGUGUGUUAACCCUGAGAAGACCAGCCAUGGGGUACCAGGCUUUUGACCCACAGAAAUGGUGAGGUCAUUUUUAUUCUCUGCAUUCACAGAAAAUUCUUCAAACCUCAUCACAGUAUUAAUCCUAAACUAGGCAUCUCAUGAUCUUGGAAGUUCCCUUUGAGUUACAUGGAGUCGUACUCUAUCUGGGUCUUCUCAUAGCUUCCUGAAACUGUGGCGAGCACAAAAUGAGUAAAAGGCAGAUAUUUAUUAAUCUGCUCAAACUGCCCUCAGAAAAGACUACAGACUGGGCCACUUAACACAAAGUUACUUCUCGAAUUUUUGGAGGCUGUGAAGUUAAAGAGGGUACCAGUUCUAUUGGAUCAAAGGUCACCUUUAUGAUUUCAUUGAGCCGUAAACGCCCCUUUAAAGACCUUACCUCAUGCGUUCAGAUUGGGGGGGGGUGUGGGUGUGGGUGUGUGGAAGGGGGUUACAGCUUCAUAUCUGAAUUUGAGGAGACCCAGUUCAAUUCAUAGCAGGGAGACCAUGCCAAAAAUAAUAAUUCACCUCUAUAACAAUUUACCUUUAAAAGCCAGUCUUUGUCUUUUUAACCAUUCAUCUGGACCAAGAGUGAUUCACCACUUUCUUAGAAAUGGUAAGGCUACUAUGAAGACUAUCCUCCCAAAAGAGGGCUUGUGAUGUAAAUCAUGGGUUUUGUGUAAUUUCUAACUCUGCUCCAGCAAGAAAACAAUCAUGAAAGAGAAGACCCAGGAUAUUAAGUAAUUAAUCAAACACCACAAGAAUGUAUAGGGAUGAAAUUAAGAAUCACAACAGAAUCUUUCUGAGAUUUUUUUUUUUGCCAUGUGAGGAUAAUUACAUAGAUUAACCUCUACAGAGAAGGAUUUUCGUUUUCUCAAUCUAUACUCUCUCCCCAAGAGAUUUCUUAAAAGCUAUUAUCUGUUGAGUAUAAUGACUGGAUUGGACUGGACACUUGCCAUAGUAUUGGUUGCUCAUUGUCUGGAACCCAUUCCUAUAAGUGAGGAAUUUUCCACUGAAUGAGAUUUAUUUGGACUCUGCAAGCUGCAAAGAUGCACUUUUCCAGCUCAAGCAUAUAUUCUAGGUUGGAUAAUAAAAAUGCACUGGAUAAUAAGAUGCAUGUGUUUGGCAAUUUAAAUCUCUGAGGAGAAAGACAAAUCGUCACAGGCAUGCAGUCAGGGAUUCCUUUUUAUGACAGCAGCAGGCUCGGCUGCAGCUCCUCCCCUGUAGUCCACCAGCAGUAGCGGUGCUGGUGACGCCUUCAGCAAUAUCCAAUAUCCUGUGGCACAGGUGGGUGGGAGCAGAAUGAGACGGGGGGUAGGAGCAUUCUCACUCACUGGGCUCUGGGGUGUGAUUUUUGCUUUGAGUUGGCCACUUUGCAUGUCUUGCUCUUAAGUGUUUUCUGAGCCUGGUUCAAUGGACCUAUCAGAGAAUCCUUGAGUUAAUACACAUCCUUCCAAUACAACCACCCUUCUGCUUAAAGGAUCCAAGGUGGUUUCUCUUGCCUAUUAAUAGGAAACCUAUUUGCAAAUAACUGCAGCAUAUGUCCUAUCAGUCCAGACUCCUCCUCUGGGCUCCUGGGCUAGAGGGUACAACUCACCAUGCAAUAUCUCUCAUCGGAAAAAUGUCACAAACCCUCCAAAUCAAUAAAUUCAACCCUGAACUUCACGUCUUUUUCCUCGGACCCGACUCCCUGUCCAGGACCCUCAGUCUCGAUGAAUGGUACCGCAUCCAUCCAACGGGGUACGUCAUUCCUGGACUAUCUGCUUACUCAUGCUCCAUAGCCCAUCAGCAGCAAGUACAUAUCACACCAUAAAUACCCCAACUCUGAUCCAUUCUCUCUGACUGUAUCCCCACCACCCUUGCCCAAACCAUUCUCAGCUCUCAUGUGAAUCCUUGAAAGCAACACCUGCCUGCCUCUAAGCCGAAUUCUCUACAACCGACCCAGAAACACAUUUUCAAAUGUCAUAUGCAUGGACUGUGUCACCCCCCAGGUAUAAUUAUUGGCCCUUAGAAUGGUUUUCACUGUUAGGGUCAAUUCACAGUUCCCCCGUUUGGCGUAUGUCACAUGAGCUGACCCCAGCCAGAUUCUCCAGCUCCUGGUUGUACAAAACUCUUCCUUACCCGCUUGAACCAAGACAUGGCUUUAUUUGCUCUCUUCUGUCUGUCAUGCUCCCACCUGCGUCAUGCCCGUUACACUGGCUAUUCAUCUGCGUGGAAUAAGAUCCCUUUUCAUCUAAACUUGCUUGAUUUUUACUCUAUUGUCAUA
Molecule: long non-coding RNA, 2808 nt
Organism: Sus scrofa (pig)
Lineage: Eukaryota; Metazoa; Chordata; Mammalia; Artiodactyla; Suidae
Source: RefSeq, a predicted model, not a curated record